Molecule: ribosomal RNA, 1565 nt
Filed under: human gut metagenome
Description: bacterial LSU rRNA
Rfam family: Bacterial large subunit ribosomal RNA
Source: RNAcentral
AUAAGUAGCGAGAAGGGGAGUGAGAAUCUCCCCCGCUGGAAGACCAAGGUUUUCAGGGUAAAGCUUGUCUUCCCUGAGUAAGCCGGGACCUAAGCCCAGGCUAGAAUGCGUAGGCGAAUGGAAAACAGACGAAUAUUUCUGUGCCAGUUCUACUUUGUGAAGGAGGGACGCAGAAGGGUAUGCGCGCGGACGAACGGAAGUGUCCGUAGAAGCAUGUAGAGUGACUUGGUAGGCAAAUCCGCCAGGUUAGACUUGAGGUGUGACAUAGAAUCGUAAGAGGAAUGCGCAAAUCCCACGCUGCCGAGAAAAGCUUCUAACGUUAAAGUAGAGACUGCCCGUACUGGAAACCGACACAGGUGGUCAGGAUGAGAAAUCUAAAGCGGACAGGCUAACUCUCGUUAAGGAACUCUGCAAAAUGGCCCCGUAACUUCGGGAGAAGGGGUGCCUCUUAGCGUUCGUAUUCACGCAAUACAAAGCGCCGAGAGGUCGCAGUGAAGAGGCUCAAGCAACUGUUUAACAAAAACACAGGUCUAUGCGAAGCUGUAAGGCGAUGUAUAUGGGCUGACACCUGCCCAGUGCCGGAAGGUUAAGAGGAGGAGUGAGAGCUCCGAAUUGAAGCCCCGGUGAACGGCGGCCGUAACUAUAACGGUCCUAAGGUAGCGAAAUUCCUUGUCGGGUAAGUUCCGACCUGCACGAAUGGUGUAAUGAUUUGAGCGCUGUCUUGACGGGAGGCCUGGUGAAAUUGUAUUACCGGUGAAGAUACCGGUUACCUACAGUAGGACGGAAAGACCCCAUGGAGCUUUACUGUAGCUUGGUAUUGGGUUUUGGCAUGGCAUGUAUAGGAUAGUUGGGAGACUGGGAAGGUAUGGCGCUAGCUGUACCGGAGUCACUGGUGGAAUACCAACCAUUCCCUGCUGAAAUUCUAAUCUGUGGUUUGUCGCCACGGAGACAGUGCUAGGUGGGCAGUUUGACUGGGGCGGUCGCCUCCGAAAGAGUAACGGAGGCGUUCAAAGGUUCUCUCAGGUUGGAUGGAAAUCAACCGCAGAGUGCAAUGGCAAAAGAGAGCUUGACUGCAAGACUGACGGGUCGAGCAGAUGCGAAAGCAGGACAUAGUGAUCCGGCGAUUCCGAAUGGAAGGGUCGUCGCUCAACGGAUAAAAGCUACCCUGGGGAUAACAGGCUGAUCCUACCCGAGAGUCCAUAUCGACGGUAGGGUUUGGCACCUCGAUGUCGGCUCAUCGCAUCCUGGGGCUGGAGAAGGUCCCAAGGGUUGGGCUGUUCGCCCAUUAAAGCGGUACGUGAGCUGGGUUCAGAACGUCGUGAGACAGUUCGGUCCCUAUCCACUGUAGGCGCAAGAGUAUUGAGAAGAUCUGUCCUUAGUACGAGAGGACCGGGAUGGACAAACCUCUGAUGUACCAGUUGUCACGCCAGUGGCACAGCUGGGUAGUCACGUUUGGCAUAGAUAACCGCUGAAAGCAUCUAAGCGGGAAACUAGCUUCAAGAUAAGUAUUCUAUGAGGAAGCUUCGAGAACAGGAGCUAGAUAGGUUGGGGGUGUACGCGCAGUA